CUCCUCAGGCUCAGGAAAAGCUUACAGAGAACUCUGGAAAGGCAGCUGAGAGCCCUUCUGCCAAGAUUCCUGCCAAUAAUGUCUUCCUUUCAGAGUAAGUCCUUCCUGGAGCAAAAGAAAAUCAAAUUGGGAAGCUAUAAAAUGGCAAGAGAGAGGAGAUAUCCGGCCCAUACUAACUCCUGGGCAAUGAUGGGUUGCUGCACUUCAGCACUCCAAACCAAAGCCCCAAGGACACCAAACCACACCGUCACCUUGGGGCAAACACAGAAACCAUUCCUUCAACUGACACGAUCAACAGUUCACCCUCCAGCAUCACGUCAGCCAAUCAUAUGGCCACUGAAGUGUUAAAUGCUGAGGCACGUGGAGAAGGCCCCAUUUUUCCCUUCGGGCUUAGGAAUGCUGCAGAGAGAUUACCAAUUGUGACAUCACUCUGGGAACCACCUAUCUCACCACCACCCAUCACUCGCCAAAGGACAAUUUUGGACACGGGCCAGGUGCCACAUCUACAAGGAAGGCUCAGGCACAGACUGAAAGGAUCCCGACUGCCUGGGGGCCACAGAUCACCUCUGCUUCAGGCUGGAAUGUUCCUUCUCCACAGAGUCCAGGAACUGACAUAUGCAAACACCCACCCAGAAGGACAUGUCCAAGAAAGAAUGGAAAGAAAAAUGAUGGUCCAGAUGUUCUGUAACUUGCAGUGACUGCCAAAUCACCCAAGACCCCAAGCACCUGGGAGGGCCAGGCAGCAUCAGGCCCUUGCUUCCCGGUUUUAGACAGCCAGGGUUCUGUGGCUGGGUGGCGACUCUGACAGCAAGCAGACUGGCCUGGAGAGAAGCCCUCAGAAGGGCACCAGCUGACGGGACUUGGGGGCUGAACACUCAGAGCUGAUUUAUC
Molecule: long non-coding RNA, 891 nt
Organism: Ailuropoda melanoleuca (giant panda)
Lineage: Eukaryota; Metazoa; Chordata; Mammalia; Carnivora; Ursidae
Exons: 3
Source: RefSeq, a predicted model, not a curated record